RNAcentral lists this ribosomal RNA (467 nucleotides) under uncultured bacterium. RNAcentral describes it as "partial 16S ribosomal RNA". It matches the Rfam family "Bacterial small subunit ribosomal RNA", at positions 28 to 507 of the family's 1533-position model. The record is from RNAcentral.
GAUGGACGCUGACAGAAUGCUUAACACAUGCAAGUCAACUUGAAUUUGGGUUUUUAACUUAGGUUUGGGUGGCGGACGGGUGAGUAACGCGUAAAGAACUUGCCUCACAGCUAGGGACAACAUUUGGAAACGAAUGCUAAUACCUAAUAUUAUGAUAAUAGGGCAUCCUAUAAUUAUGAAAGCUAUAAGCGCUGUGAGAGAGCUUUGCGUCCCAUUAGCUAGUUGGAGAGGUAACGGCUCACCAAGGCGAUGAUGGGUAGCCGGCCUGAGAGGGCGAUCGGCCACAAGGGGACUGAGACACGGCCCUUACUCCUACGGGAGGCAGCAGUGGGGAAUAUUGGACAAUGGACCGAGAGUCUGAUCCAGCAAUUCUGUGUGCACGAUGAAGUUUUUCGGAAUGUAAAGUGCUUUCAGUUGGGAAGAAACAAAUGACGGUACCAACAGAAGAAGUGACGGCUAAAUACGUG